UGCGGGGUGGAGCAGUUCGGUAGCUCGUCGGGCUCAUAACCCGAAGGUCAUAGGUUCAAAUCCUGUCCCCGCUACCA
This 77-nucleotide transfer RNA is filed under the name Bathymodiolus thermophilus thioautotrophic gill symbiont. RNAcentral describes it as "tRNA-Met-CAT". It matches the Rfam family "tRNA". Rfam says of the family: Transfer RNA (tRNA) molecules are approximately 80 nucleotides in length. Their secondary structure includes four short double-helical elements and three loops (D, anti-codon, and T loops). RNAcentral also lists the same sequence under 22 other names. The record is from RNAcentral. Lineage: Bacteria; Pseudomonadati; Pseudomonadota; Gammaproteobacteria.